Transfer RNA from Penicillium vulpinum, 74 nucleotides. It matches the Rfam family "tRNA". From Rfam's summary of the family: Transfer RNA (tRNA) molecules are approximately 80 nucleotides in length. Their secondary structure includes four short double-helical elements and three loops (D, anti-codon, and T loops). The record is from Rfam. Lineage: Eukaryota; Fungi; Ascomycota; Eurotiomycetes; Eurotiales; Aspergillaceae.
GUCUCCGUGGCGCAAUUGGUUAGCGCGUCCGACUGUUAAUCGGGAGGUUGGAAGUUCAAGCCUUCCCGGGGACG